Liolophura sinensis is the source of this 4427-nucleotide RNA transcript. RefSeq lists it as uncharacterized. NCBI's taxonomy places the organism in Eukaryota, Metazoa, Mollusca, Polyplacophora, Chitonida, Chitonidae. The record is from RefSeq and is a predicted model, not a curated record. The transcript is spliced from 5 exons.
GUGCUGUUCGGCUACAACAUGUGCAUGUACGAGUGGGAUCUCUUCUGCGGCGUAAAUCCGAUGUGAACUGACCUUGCAGUAUAACCGUCGCGGGUGUCUAGAUGUGUAUUGGCUCCUCCCUUUUUCCACCAUGGCUGACAAGUCUGGAAAUGGCCUUAGCCUGCUAAGCGAUCUUCAAAGGGAGAUAACACACGAUCAAGCUAAAGAGGCAUUUGACAACAAUGACUUCAGACAUGCAACUGAACUCUACACAGAGCUACUAAAGACCAAUAAUAUUAAUGUCCAGUACCUUAUCAACAGAGCCAUUGCUUACGUGCAAUUGGAACAACCGGUCAAAUCACUUGAGGAUUCCAAAACGAUCAUCAGCGUAGAGGCUUUUAACCCCAAGGGUUAUUUGCUGGCAGGACGAUCAUGCCUGAUGCUGAAGCGAUUCGAAGACGCUUUGUCGUUUUAUCAAAGAGGCCUACAAGUGGAUCCCAAAAACAAGGAGAUUGCCUCCGAUCUCAAAAACAUGCAGAAAGUCAUUGUGAAGGAAUAUGAAGCCAGAGGAUCAGAGAAAGGGUACAACGCCGUGAAGUUCUGCUCCCAAGAUCCUUAUCCCGGGGACGACGCCCUUCUGGUUAUGGAGCAGGAAAUCCUUGAUAUGAAGCAUCUACGAAAGGCGAAAACAUUGACAGAGAUGGCACCGACCAACAAGCGUGACCCCAAGGUAGCGGUAAACGAGGCAAUGAUAGGAGAACAGCACAGACGGCGUGGGGACUACCCGCGGGCUCUGCAUCACUUGGGGAAUGCUGUGGUGCUGGACCCGGCGAAUAUCUCUGUCAGGUAUUUGAGGGCUUUGGCGUACCAUCAACAUGGCGACGCGCCGUCUGCUAUAGCUGAUUUGAUAGCUAUUCCUAAACCGGCAAGACAUAAAGACGUCUGGAAAUCAGGAGGAACUAUCCUACAAGAUCUGCACCUGCCGGUGAUGGCCGAACUAUGGCUUCGUCGUGCCACGAGGCUCAGCGAAGACGGCGAUGACGAAUGCGCCAUGAUGUUCCAGGAAGCGCGCGUCAAACGUCUGUACGAUCCCAUGACCGUGCACUUUCCCGUUCGGGUCAGGUUUACUGUAUACGGUAGGGCAGUGUAUUCCAAGACGGAUAUUGGCAAGGAUACAAUUGUGAUGAAGGACGAGCCUAUUGUCUGUGGCAAUAGCUUAGACACUUGGAAGCAACCGGCGUGCCAUCACUGCGGGAGGUCCCUGAUGACGAUGAUGGAUUAUUUCGGCAACACAAACCAUCUGAGCGAACACCAGCGCCAAGUAGUUGAGGAGAACUGGCCUGAGGUGGAAGUCGUCCCUUGUGACUUCUGCCAGAAAGAGGUGUACUGUAGCGCGUUUUGUCGCCAGGAGGCCUGGGAGCGCUUCCACUCCGUUCUCUGCCCUUCCAAGUCCCCUGCCGUCAGUAAGCUGUAUGAAAUAUGUGAAAAUAACGGUAAGAUGUAUGAUAGUCAGACGAGGACGUGGAAAGAGGUGUGGGCAGCGGCCUUCACGCCUUUCAUCCUGGCCAAGAUGUGGGCUUUCGUGGUGUGUCAGGUGAGGAAGUUGAUGAAGGAGGACGGGUCGGAGGAACCCAGCUUGGAACACUGGGCCAAGGCUAAGGCUCCCCUCAGAAGGUUUAUUGCCUUUGGAGCUACAGAGGCCUCUGGGCGUUUCCCGGAAGUAAUGAAGCUUAUGCAGGAGAUCUUCAGUACCUGUGAUCCGGUCGUCCGCUAUGACAUCAGUGAGAAGGAGUUCGAUGGUAGAUACUUCCAGGCCACCUGCAAUUUACAGUCCUUCAGCUCCCCUUUGAAUGGCUACAAGGAGUUCAUCAAUAAGCUGAACAGCCUGGACGUCCUCAAGACGAUGACCAUGCUGAAGGUGGUAGAGGAAAAACCGAAGGAAGCCCUUUUCACAGGCCUAUUUCCUCUCCACGCCUGCCUGAACCACUCAUGUCUGAACACGGUAGAAGUGAUGGACGGAGAGUACCGGGGAAAACCUGGCAUCUGGGUUAGGGCAAAGCGAGACAUUCGGGCUGAUGAAGAGCUCUUCACUACCUAUAUCGACACAAAGAUGCCCCGGAAACUCCGAAGAGCUUGGCUCUACAGGUCCUUCAACUUUUGGUGCCAGUGUAGACGUUGCCAGUUUGAAGGGGACGAGCCGGAAACGUGCACAAACUGCUUCACCACAGCACCACCAGGCAAGAAGUUCCCAGGCUGUGGCAAGUGCAAGAAAGCCUGGUACUGCUCAGUGAAGUGCCAGAAACAAUCGUGGCAGAAGGGCCAUAAGGAGAUAUGUAAGACACCUCAUUCUUCUACUACCUGUCCUAACGACACAGAAUACGUAAUUGAACGUUUCCUGUGUUAACACAUAUAACCUGUUUCUAUAGAUGAGUUUGCUGGUACACUUCAUGCACACCUGCUUAAUUUGGAGCCGUUGCAUAUUAAUUUACUGUAAAUCUUCAACCUUUUCAACCACCAAAGCACUGCAGUGGAAUUUAUGCAUACAGUUAUUAUGAAAAACGCUAAAAUAACGUGUUUGUAUCAUCAAAGACGUAAGCUUCAUAAAACUGUGGAGAUUAUUUCUCUGCACCGCAUACCUUUAUCAGAGUGUUUCAAAAUAUUGGCUGCAGAGGCGGUUGAAAAAACUGAAGAAUUAGGGUAUUACAACCUAUAAAAGGAGAUUUAACUGUGUUUUAACAAGACUGCAAUUUUUUAAAAAUUAAAAAUAUUUACUGUGUUAUAACUUAUAAAACACAAACUGUAUAUAUUACUGCUUUCGACUAACUAUUACCGUUUUAUAUUUCCUUAACACGUAUGCGCAACACAAGCAAACAAGCCCGCGUAGGGCCUAUGUACAAUUAAUGUCACGGAUUGUUUGAGUAUAGUCAUGUUUUUGUUGUCUUCAUAUUAACUUAUGUUGUCUAAACUGAUUGAACAUUGAUUGUGCUAAUGUAAUAACACAUUUCAGAUAGCGAAUUCAUCCAUUUCAAGAUCUGAAUAGGAAAUGCCACUGACAAAUGGAUUGUUAUGUUGGUGAUUUUCUUAUGUACAACCGAUAAUUAUUUAUUUAAUAUCAGUGUGUGUUUGCGUGUGUUUUAUUCGUCUUAAUGACAUCACAAAAUGCAAAAAGAGACAGUAUUAUACCGAUGCAUACAUGUCUGUUCAAUUUGAUCGAUCUCAUUCAAAUAUGAUCAUGUGCUAUUUUUAAAUUUACACUUCACAAAAAUGUGAAAUGUCUGUCACCACCUGAAAAUUUACAUAAAAGUUCCGACUUUCAUUCGUAUGUGAAUGAACAUAAAGCCAUUUUCACACCCGUCAUUCCGUUCAUCCUAUAAUUUCAUCAUACAUAUAACCGUUAAUAUUUUUGGUUAAAAUAUAUUAUAGGUAUGCACUAUAUGGGAUGAGAAUUCCAGACAUGAUUGUACGGGAGACUCAUUCGGUAUGGUUUUGACGUUUUGCUGUUGUUGUUCUAGCGUUUCAUGUGUAUAGUGGAGAGUUGGCAUUUGUGAUUGAUUUGACCAGUAUUGCUCUAUUCUACUUCUGGUCCCAGGAAGAAGUGUAGUAUUUCGUAAGACACUUCACAUCAGUGGCUUUUUCUUUGCUAUUCAGUACUAUGGAUGGCUGCACUGGAACUGUGUAAAUGUAGAUAUGUUGUUGUGUGUGUAUGUGUAAUUAUGUAUUUCGCAAACAAUCACCGUCUGAUCAUAUGUGUAGAUUUUCUUUGGAUUACCGUAGCUGUUUGUAUUAGGUGAUUCAAGGGAGCUAACUCCUGGAGUUGUGCGAUUGUUUAUUAGUACAGAUGCAUUUACUAGUGCUCUAUACAACUGUUCCUGUAAUGCCACGUUUUCUCACGCCUGAAAAUAUCCAUUAUGUGCUAACUUCCGUUGCAUUCUGGGACAACGUUCCUAGGGUGGUAGUAGUCUCUAGCUUCCAUUAAAUUUGCAUUGUGAACGGCUGUCAAUGUGCAUUGCAAGUAUGGUGUGAUUCUGGUUGCAAUCGACAAACAGAUAGCGGAGGAUGCGGAGAAAGCCAACCUACCUAAUAUGUGAUUAGGACAGAACCACUGCACUGGGAAGGCAUAAGGUCAUUUAUAUGAACGAUAACUAUGGAGUGGUGCAUAUCUGCGUGCACCACUCAUCAGAAAAUACGCACACAUUCUUCGUGCUGGUAACUCGUUCCUGUACAAAUAUAUUGGGUUAUCUCACCAGGUUAUUGUUAGGGUAAUAGGCAUGUUUGUCUUUGUGCUUCUGGUGGCAUAUACGUUCAGAUAAAGACAGUGGCUUGACCGAAGAUUAUAUUGUGCGUGAUAUUGUAAAACUUCUUAAAGAGCGUAAGUGUCAAGCUAAAGAAACAGUAUUGUGAUACAGAGUAUAAUAAAGUACGAAGCCAACCACAUGUCCGCGAAGCGU